UAAUUGAAGUAAUGUUAUACGCUCAAUUUCGGCUUGAGAAAAAGAUAAUUUAUCCAAUU
This 59-nucleotide transfer RNA is filed under the name Chrysis angustula. RNAcentral describes it as "tRNA-Arg". Lineage: Eukaryota; Metazoa; Arthropoda; Insecta; Hymenoptera; Chrysididae. The record is from RNAcentral.